GUUCGACGAUCACAAGGCAGAGGGUUUGGGUAUGGGCACCCAUUGCCAUCGGUCGUUGGUCUCCCUGUAGCCGAGGCAAAGAGGAGGAUAAAACAAUGCAGGCCAGAUGUCUACAUUGAGGUCCUUUCGGCAAUAGGAAUCAGACGAGGUCACAGGUACAGGCGCCUCGCCAAGUGUAACAAGAGACACGCCCCGUUCUUGUCUCGUACCGACUCUGCUUCGGACGGCCGUUUAGAAUUACUCACCGGAGUCCAGAGAGGCGGAGAGCCGGAGCGGAGAGGCAGUGGCGCCUGGGCGGCUGCCGGCUGGGUGCUGGAACCGCCGGCCGGAGAGGGUGCGCUAGCCGGCCAGGCCUGGGGCACGCUGGUGACUCGGCGAGGGGCGAAGGGAGUCGUGGAGAGUGCGCGGCCGCGGCGCCGCGUGGGCGCCGGCGCGGCGCGUGAAGGCAGCGGCGCCGCUGCCACGGCUGGGCGCGCGCCUGGCGGGAGCCGGGAGGCCGCCGCCCGCCAGCUGGACGCGGCGGGAGGAACGACGGCGCGAGUAGCGGCCUCGCGGGACGGCAGGAGCGCCGGAGUCGCGGCUCGCGGGACCGUCGUCGCCGUCGGUCGUUUGGGACUUGGGAGCAGUGGCGGAAAGGGAGGGGAGAUUGCACGGGAGAGAGAAGAAGAUAUUAGGGUUAGCAAUAACCAAAACAACGCGACUGAAAUUGAAACAUCAACCGGUAGCAGACUGCCCGGGCGAAAGAGACUCCUCUGGUCGCCAAUAAUUUUCGGUGUGACCACGGUUAAAGAUUGUUCAGUGCAAUACGCAACACGCAGUGCCUUCUCGAAGUGCAGAGGAAUUAUUAAAGCACCUGAAGAUGAGAUGACCGCAUACUUCCAACAUGGUUUGGUUCACGCGAAACGUUGGAUUGGUUAUCGUUUCGCGGUCUCUUCUGGUCGAUUUGGUGGGUUAGCGGGUGAUUGUGGAACAAGUCGGGUGCAGGGUGCUAGUGGUUUCCGUAAGCAGCUCGACUUGACAACAAAUUUCGCCACCCAAUCCGUAAUAGAGCGUACAGUCUCUGCCGGUGCAACAGCAGGGAGAUCAACAAAAAAUGGAAUACAGUAA
Molecule: long non-coding RNA, 1107 nt
Filed under: Oryza sativa tropical japonica subgroup
Lineage: Eukaryota; Viridiplantae; Streptophyta; Magnoliopsida; Poales; Poaceae
Description: lncRNA OsKeNa_01g0039830
Source: RNAcentral